This 207-nucleotide ribosomal RNA is filed under the name uncultured beta proteobacterium. Its description in RNAcentral is "partial 16S ribosomal RNA". It matches the Rfam family "Bacterial small subunit ribosomal RNA", at positions 287 to 488 of the family's 1533-position model. RNAcentral also lists the same sequence under 1 other name. Lineage: Bacteria; Pseudomonadati; Pseudomonadota; Betaproteobacteria. The record is from RNAcentral.
CUGGUCUGAGAGGACCACCAGCCUCACAGGGACUGAGACACGGCCCAGACUCCUACGGGAGGCAGGAGUGGGGAAUUUUGGCCAAUGGGCGCAAGCCUGAUCCAGCAAUGCCGCGUGCAGGAUGAAGGCCUUCGGGUUGUAAACUGCUUUGUACGGAACGAAACGGCGAGCUCUAAUACAGUUGCUAAUGACGGUACCGUACGAAUA